AAAAGAAUUUAAGCCAAAGUUUUAAUUGUAUAAAAUAGUUAUUAUAUAAAAAAAUUAAAUAGUUAAAUAUAAAAGUAGAGAAAAUGAAAUAAUUUUAUUACUAUAGGAUAUCAGUACUGCAUAGGAAUUUUGAAAUAAGAAAGACACAAGAAAAAAGAACUUUUAAAUAAAGGUACCUUUUGUAUCAGGGACUACUAAAUUUUCCUUAAAUAAGGAUUUCUCGAAAAUAAAAGAUCUAGAUUUUUUUAUAAGUUAUUAUAUCAAAAAUAUUUGGAAAAGAAAUUUAGGAUUUAAAAGAAACCGAUUUUAUAGAUAUCUAGUUACUUACGAAAUAAAUUUAGUUUAGAAAAUUGAGAGUUUUUCUAAUGUUGAUUUACUUAUAUAUUUUUUUAAUUUUCAGGGGAUGAGCUCGGUAAAUAUAAAAUAAUUUAAUAUUUAGAAAGGUUAUUAUUAAGCUUAUAAAUAGCUAUAUUAUUGUGUUAUAAUAGAUAACUUUAAGAGAAAGAUUUUAUUUAAUUUUUAGAUUUAGUAAGUUUUUGCUUUAACUUUUAAAGCAAAGUAAUUAUGGUAGUAUUAGUAGAUAAAAUAUUAAAGAUUUUUAAAUGAAAUAUUCCUUCUUUUUUAUAAUAAAUAAAUACUUAUAAAAGAACUCGGCAAAGAUAAUUUCCGAAUGUUUAACAAAAACAUUUCCUCCUAUUUUAGGAGGUAAGGCCUGCUCACUGAAUUUUAAAGAGCCGCAGUAUUCUAACUGUGCUAAGGUAGCAUAAUCAUUAGUCUUUUAAUUGGAGACUGGUAUGAAUGGCUUACCGAGAAAUUAACUUUUUUUGUAAGUAGUAUUAAAAUUAAUUUUUUAGUUAAAAAGCUAAAAUUUUUUAAAAAGACGAGAAGACCCUAUAGAGUUUUAUAUAAUUUACUUCUUGAUUUAAUUAGUUUCUAUAAAAAUCGAGAAUAAAUUUUGUAUUUUGUUGGGGCGACAUUAAGAUAUAUAAAACUCUUAAUUUUAAGAACUAUUAUAAUAGAAUUACUGAUCCUUUAAAAAAGAUUAUAAGAAAAUUACCUUAGGGAUAACAGCGUAAUCUUUUUUGAGAGUUCUUAUCGACAAAAAGGUUUGCGACCUCGAUGUUGGACUAAAAUUUGCUCAAGGCGCAGCCGCUUUGAUUUAAGGUCUGUUCGACCUUUAAAAUUUUACACGAUCUGAGUUCAGACCGGCGUAAGCCAGGUUGGUUUCUAUCUUUUAUUAAUAUUUAAUUAGUUUAGUACGAAAGGAUUAACUAAUUGUAAAUUUUACUGAUUACAAAGAGGUUUAUUAAAAUAAACAAAUAAGUUUGACAGAUAAAUGUAUCAGGUUUAGAAUCUGCUCA
Molecule: ribosomal RNA, 1361 nt
Filed under: Regioscalpellum regium
Lineage: Eukaryota; Metazoa; Arthropoda; Thecostraca; Scalpellidae
Description: 16S ribosomal RNA
Rfam family: Archaeal large subunit ribosomal RNA (bases 874-1237)
Source: RNAcentral